RNAcentral lists this ribosomal RNA (1714 nucleotides) under Neoachiropsetta milfordi. RNAcentral describes it as "16S rRNA". It matches the Rfam family "Bacterial large subunit ribosomal RNA". The record is from RNAcentral. Lineage: Eukaryota; Metazoa; Chordata; Actinopteri; Pleuronectiformes; Rhombosoleidae.
AGCCCAUUAGCUAGCCCGCCCACUUAAAAACAACACACCACUAUGAAUAAACCCUAACACACAUAAUUGACUUUAUUAAACCAUUUUCCCCCUCUAGUACAGGAGAUAGAAAAAGGAAUCAGGAGCAAUAGAAAAAGUACCGCAAGGGAACGCUGAAAGAGAGAUGAAAAGCCCAGUAAAGCCCAAAAAAGCAGAGAUUUCCCCUCGUACCUUUUGCAUCAUGAUUUAGCCAGCAUACUCAAGCAAAGAGAACUUUAGUUUGACCCCCCGAAACUGCGUGAGCUACUCCAAGACAGCCUAUUAAUUAGGGCAAACCCGUCUCUGUGGCAAAAGAGUGGGGAGAGCUUUGAGUAGAGGUGAUAAACCUAUCGAACACAGUUAUAGCUGGUUGCCUGGGAACUGGAUUUAAGUUCAGCCUGUCGGCUUCUCCAUUCAUCCUUAUACCUUCAUUUAUAUAGAUGCUCUAAGAAACCGACACAGUUAGUCAAAGGGGGUACAGCCCCUUUGAAACAGGACACAACCUUUUAAGGAGGAUAAAGAUCACAUUCAAUAAGGAAAGAUGUUUUAGUGGGCCUAAGAGCAGCCAUCCUGAUAAAAAGCGUUAAAGCUUAGACAUACACACCCUCCCUUGAUCCCGAUAAAAACAUCUUAAUCCCCUAUAUUGUACCAGGCCAUCCUAUGCCCCCAUAGGAGUGACUAUGCUAAUAUGAGUAAUAAGAGAGUACCCCUCUCUCCCUGCACACGUGUAAAUCGGAACGGACCUCCCACCGAGCCUUAACGGCCCCAACCAAAGAGGGAAAUGAAACACAACCCUAACUAACAAGAAAACCCCCCAAUAAACCUACCGUUAACCCAACACAGGUGUGCUCCCAAGGAAAGACUAAGAGAAGGAGAAGGAACUCGGCAAACAAAUUUAAAGCCUCGCCUGUUUACCAAAAACAUCGCCUCUUGCAAAACUAACGUAUAAGAGGUCCCGCCUGCCCAGUGACAUCUAGUUCAACGGCCGCGGUAUUUUGACCGUGCUAAGGUAAGCGUAAUCACUUGUCUUUUAAAUGGAGACCUGUAUGAAUGGCAUAACGAGGGCUUGACUGUCUCCUCCUUCCGGUCAAUGAAAUUGAUCUCCCCGUGCAGAAGCGGGGAUCCCAAACAUAAGACGAGAAGACCCUAUGGAGCUUUAGGUACCAAGGCAGUCCAUGUUAAACACCCCUGAAUAAAGGCCUAAACUUAGUGGACUCUGCCCUAGUAUCUUCGGUUGGGGCGACCCUGGGGAAAUACAAAACCCCCAUGUGGAAUGGGAGCACUACCCCACUUAUCCCCUGCUCCUACAAACUUGAAACACAAUUCUAAUUAACAGAACUUCUGACCAAACAUGAUCCGGCAAUGCCGAUUAACGGACCAAGUUACCCUAGGGAUAACAGCGCAAUCCUCUUUUAGAGCCCAUAUCGACAAGGGGGUUUACGACCUCGAUGUUGGAUCAGGACAUCCUAAUGGUGCAGCCGCUAUUAAGGGUUCGUUUGUUCAACGAUUAAAGUCCUACGUGAUCUGAGUUCAGACCGGAGUAAUCCAGGUCAGUUUCUAUCUAUGAGAUGAUCUUUUCUAGUACGAAAGGACCGAGAAGAAGGGGUCAAUGCUUCAAGUACACCUCCCCCUGACUUAAUGAAAACAUCUAAACUAAGUAAAAGGGCAUACUCUCCCGUGCCGGAAAUAACGGCGC